UGCGAAGGCAGCUUUCUGGAUCAUUACUGACACUGAGGAACGAAAGCAUGGGUAGCGAAGAGGAUUAGAUACCCUCGUAGUCCAUGCCGUAAACGAUGUGUGUUAGACGUUGGAAAUUUAUUUUCAGUGUCGCAGCGAAAGCAAUAAACACACCGCCUGGGGAGUACGACCGCAAGGUUAAAACUCAAAUGAAUUGACGGGGACCCGCACAAGUAGUGGAGCAUGUGGUUUAAUUCGAAGAUACGCGCAGAACCUUACCAACACUUGACAUGUUCGUCGCGACUUUAAGAGAUUAAAGUUUUCGGUUCGGCCGGACGAAACACAGGUGCUGCAUGGCUGUCGUCAGCUCGUGUCGUGAGAUGUUGGGUUAAGUCCCGCAACGAGCGCAACCCUCACUUUUAGUUGCCAUCAUUUAGUUGGGCACUCUGAAAGAACUGCCAGUGAUAAGCUGGAGGAAGGUGGGGAUGACGUCAAGUCCUCAUGGCCCUUACGUGUUGGGCUACACACGUGCUACAAUGGCAUUUACAAUAGGAAGCAAGACGGCGACGUUAAGCAAAUCCUAAAAAAAUGCCUCAGUUCGGAUUGUACUCUGCAACUCGAGUACAUGAAGCUGGAAUUACUAGUAAUCGCGGAUCAGCGCGCCGCGGUGAAUACGUUCCCGGGUCUUGUACACACCGCCCGUCACACCAUGGGAGUUGGUUCUACCUUAAGGCAAAGGUUAAAAACUUUGACCACGGUAUAGUCAGCGACUGGGGUGAAGUCGUAACAAGGUAGCCGUAGGGGAACCUGCGGCUG
RNAcentral lists this ribosomal RNA (795 nucleotides) under marine metagenome. Its description in RNAcentral is "bacterial SSU rRNA". It matches the Rfam family "Bacterial small subunit ribosomal RNA", at positions 714 to 1520 of the family's 1533-position model. The record is from RNAcentral.